Molecule: long non-coding RNA, 658 nt
Organism: Danaus plexippus (monarch butterfly)
Lineage: Eukaryota; Metazoa; Arthropoda; Insecta; Lepidoptera; Nymphalidae
Exons: 3
Source: RefSeq, a predicted model, not a curated record
UAGCGAGCAUACACUGUUGUUGUAACGUUACAGAACAUCAGUCAAAUAUUUGGAACAAUGGCACUCAAAACAAAACUAAAUAUAUCAUUAAAAUAGCCCAUAAGAUAACAAUUACCUAAAAUGGAUUGCUCUCAGCCUGUUAGACUCCAAACGCUCCAAAAUGAUAAUACUCCAAAACCUAUUUUUAUUUUCAAUGAGAAUCAUAUUGUUUAUGUGUCGGGGUUGCUGAUAAUGUUGAUUUUAUACCUAUCUUGGUCCUUAUAUCAGUGCCGCCAGUGCCACCGCAGGUAAAUGUUAAGAUUUGGUUCGGGAAUAAAAUUUGAGCUAAUUACUAACUGAAAAUGGGUUGUUCUCUGAGAUGCUCCAAGGCGUUGGGUCCUUUGUUAGGAGAAAAUUAUAUUCAGGCACUCUUUAUUGUUUUGUGUCUAAUAGCCACUGUACUAGCAUACAAGGUCUUCCGUUGCCGGCACCCGAGGAGAAGAAUUUUUUGUAUAUAAUUAUUCAAAAUAAAAGUUUCUCUGACCAUGGAAGAAAAAACACUGUCCGGAUCCGAGAGUAGGUUGUAGGGAUGAUCAAACUCGGCAACUUCCCCACUGCUCAUGACUAAAACUUUGUCGGAGUCCAUAAUCGUAUUGAGGCGAUGGGCAAUUGUCAGCAC